RNAcentral lists this ribosomal RNA (425 nucleotides) under uncultured bacterium. Its description in RNAcentral is "bacterial SSU rRNA". It matches the Rfam family "Bacterial small subunit ribosomal RNA", at positions 506 to 930 of the family's 1533-position model. The record is from RNAcentral.
GGCCAGCAGCCGCGGUAAUACGAGGGGGGCAAAUGUUGUUCGGAAUCACUGGGCGUAAAGGGAGCGUAGGCGGGUUUCUAAGUCAGGUGUUUAAUCCCGGGGCCCAACCCCGGACAGGCACUUGAAACUGGGAAUCUUGAAUAGUGGAGAGGUCAGUGGAAUUGGGGGUGUAGCGGUGGAAUGCGUAGAGAUCCCCAAGAACACCAGUUGCGAAGGCGGCUGACUGGACACAUAUUGACGCUGAGGCUCGAAAGCAUGGGGAGCAAACAGGAUUAGAUACCCUGGUAGUCCAUGCCAUAAACGAUGAAUACUAGGUUUUGGGCCCGUCAACGGUCCAGAGCCGCAGCUAACGCGUUAAGUAUUCCGCCUGGGGAGUACGGUCGCAAGACUGAAACUCAAAGGAAUUGACGGGGGCCCGCACAAGG